This is a long non-coding RNA of Macrosteles quadrilineatus (aster leafhopper), 314 nucleotides long. RefSeq lists it as uncharacterized. The record is from RefSeq and is a predicted model, not a curated record. Lineage: Eukaryota; Metazoa; Arthropoda; Insecta; Hemiptera; Cicadellidae. The transcript has 3 exons.
UUCAUAUUCUUUGUGAGGGACUCCUUCCGUACUUGCAGACACAGAAGAAGAGAUGGAGGAGAAGAUAGACAAAACAAGAACAAGGUGCACAAACACCAAGUUUGCCGUUGAUGCUGACGAGGGAACUAGCCUAUAGGCCUUGCGAGAAGUUAGAUAAAAAGCAAGUACCGGAUCUGAAGCAGCUGAAGUGCCGUAUAUGUUGCAAGUUUCAAAAUCCACUAAUGUCUUGAAAUGUGUGUUAAUUUAUUGAAAGUUAGUCAUUGUCUUAUUGUUAUGUUUAAGUGAACUGAAGUUAAAAUUUUAUAGUUAGCUCA